CAGCAAUCACACCCUCCUUUCCAGGGUGUGUAGCCACUGCCAGGACCUGGCUGCCUAUCUGGGGAUCACAUUUCCCAGCCUUCAUGUCUGUGUGCCUCCUUCUUCCAGUGGAAUGAGAGCAGAGAUGUAGUCAGUUGUGAGCCCAGGUACUUAACAAGUAGAAGGCGUCUUCAUACUUUCUGCUCCUGCCUAUGGAGGAUCCAGCACAAAAAAACAUGGCCUUGGAAGAUGGAGCUAGAAGAAUGAAUCCUUGAUGGUAGACCCAGAGAAGGCAUCAGCCUUCAUCCCAUGAAACCCACCAAACCGAAAGAAAAAGAGGGGAUGUGACUUCUUGAAGAUCGUGCAUAUGGAAACCUCUGACUUAUAGAGGAAACAUAUAUUUUAUAAGGAGCAUUGAUCUGAGGUUUUCUCUUGGGGGAGAACUGUGCUUGGAGUACUUUGAUGACCUGUCCACAAUGGAAAGAGAAAUCCCAAAGGCUUACUUAAAUAGCCAAAGAUGAUUCCUGAACUGCUAUGCAUAGGCCAAGAAGAGAAAUAUGCGUUGUUCCUAAAGAGAUUGGACGAAGGUGCGGUGGGACUGGGGAAUAUAUCGAUGACACAGGCACGUCCUAUCAAGUCUGCCUGAAAAUAGCUCCCACAUUCUGUCAGAUGAUGGCCUUCUUCAGGAAACCUCUCCAUCCAAAUGAAACCUCUCCAUCCAAAAGUUGGGUGAAUAAAAGUGCCUGUGAAAGAAUCUUCUUCUCUUAACAGGGCCCCUGUCAUAAGGAAACCUGGGAGAGCGAAGAAAGGCCUGAUUGAUCACAAGGUCCUAUCAAAUGUCAAAGCUGGCCCUGGCUGACCUCCCAUCUAUUCAGAGCUGCUUUGAUUUAAUCUCCAAACUGGCUGCUUCUCUAGGCUGUGAGUUCUGUCUGCAAC
This 915-nucleotide long non-coding RNA is filed under the name Felis catus (domestic cat). Its description in RNAcentral is "lncRNA (ENSFCAG00000042037.2)". Lineage: Eukaryota; Metazoa; Chordata; Mammalia; Carnivora; Felidae. The record is from RNAcentral.